AGUGAACGCUGGCGGUAGGCCUAACACAUGCAAGUCGAACGGCAGCACAGUAAGAGCUUGCUCUUACGGGUGGCGAGUGGCGGACGGGUGAGGCAUACAUCGGAAUCUACUUUUUCGGGGGGGAUAACGUAGGGAAACUUACGCUAAUACCGCAUACGACCUACGGGUGAAAGCAGGGGAUCUUCGGACCUUGCGCGAUUGAAUGAGCCGAUGCCGGAUUAGCUAGGUGGCGGGGUAAAGGCCCACCAAGGCGACGAUCCGUAGCUGGUCUGAGAGGAUGAUCAGCCACACUGGAACUGAGACACGGUCCAGACUCCUACGGGAGGCAGCAGUGGGGAAUAUUGGACAAUGUGCGCAAGCCUGAUCCAGCCAUACCGCGUGUGUGAAGAAGGCCUUCGGGUUGUAAAGCCCUUUUGUUGGGAAAGAAAAGCAGCAGGUUAAUACCCCGCUGUUCUGACGGUACCCAAAGAAUAAGCACCGGCUAACUUCGUG
RNAcentral lists this ribosomal RNA (492 nucleotides) under uncultured bacterium. RNAcentral describes it as "partial 16S ribosomal RNA". It matches the Rfam family "Bacterial small subunit ribosomal RNA", at positions 29 to 507 of the family's 1533-position model. The record is from RNAcentral.